This 777-nucleotide ribosomal RNA is filed under the name uncultured bacterium. Its description in RNAcentral is "bacterial SSU rRNA". It matches the Rfam family "Bacterial small subunit ribosomal RNA", at positions 8 to 796 of the family's 1533-position model. The record is from RNAcentral.
AGAGUUUGAUCCUGGCUCAGGAUGAACGCUGGCGGCGUGCUUAACACAUGCAAGUCGAACGGUGAACACGGAGCUUGCUCUGUGGGAUCAGUGGCGAACGGGUGAGUAACACGUGAGCAACCUGCCCCUGACUCUGGGAUAAGCGCUGGAAACGGCGUCUAAUACUGGAUAUGUGACGUGAUCGCAUGGUCUGCGUCUGGAAAGAAUUUCGGUUGGGGAUGGGCUCGCGGCCUAUCAGCUUGUUGGUGAGGUAAUGGCUCACCAAGGCGUCGACGGGUAGCCGGCCUGAGAGGGUGACCGGCCACACUGGGACUGAGACACGGCCCAGACUCCUACGGGAGGCAGCAGUGGGGAAUAUUACACAAUGGGCGCAAGCCUGAUGCAGCAACGCCGCGUGAGGGACGACGGCCUUCGGGUUGUAAACCUCUUUUAGCAGGGAAGAAGCGAAAGUGACGGUACCUGCAGAAAAAGCGCCGGCUAACUACGUGCCAGCAGCCGCGGUAAUACGUAGGGCGCAAGCGUUAUCCGGAAUUAUUGGGCGUAAAGAGCUCGUAGGCGGUUUGUCGCGUCUGCUGUGAAAUCCGGAGGCUCAACCUCCGGCCUGCAGUGGGUACGGGCAGACUAGAGUGCGGUAGGGGAGAUUGGAAUUCCUGGUGUAGCGGUGGAAUGCGCAGAUAUCAGGAGGAACACCGAUGGCGAAGGCAGAUCUCUGGGCCGUAACUGACGCUGAGGAGCGAAAGGGUGGGGAGCAAACAGGCUUAGAUACCCUGGUAGUCC